Molecule: ribosomal RNA, 892 nt
Filed under: uncultured bacterium
Lineage: Bacteria
Description: partial 16S ribosomal RNA
Source: RNAcentral
UUGAGUUUCAUUCUUGCGAACGUACUCCCCAGGUGGGAUACUUAUAACUUUCGCUUAGCCACUGAAUCCGAAAAUCCAACAGCAAGUAUCCAUCGUUUACGGCGUGGACUACCAGGGUAUCUAAUCCUGUUCGCUCCCCACGCUUUCGUCCAUCAGCGUCAGUUGAUGUUUAGUCACCUGCCUUCGCAAUUGGUGUUCUGCGUAAUAUCUAAGCAUUUCACCGCUACACUACACAUUCCAGCAACUUCAACAUCACUCAAGACUAACAGUAUCAAUGGCAGUUUCAUAGUUAAGCUAUGAGAUUUCACCACUGACUGAUUAAUCCGCCUACGGACCCUUUAAACCCAAUAAAUCCGGAUAACGCUUGCACCCUCCGUAUUACCGCGGCUGCUGGCACGGAGUUAGCCGGUGCUUAUUCUUCUGGUACCUUCAGCUACUCACACGUGAGUAGGUUUAUCCCCAGAUAAAAGUAGUUUACAACCCAUAAGGCCGUCAUCCUACACGCGGGAUGGCUGGAUCAGGCUUCCACCCAUUGUCCAAUAUUCCUCACUGCUGCCUCCCGUAGGAGUCUGGUCCGUGUCUCAGUACCAGUGUGGGGGUUCACCCUCUCAGGCCCCCUAAAGAUCAUCGUCUUGGUGAGCCGUUACCUCACCAACUAACUAAUCUUACGCAUGCCUAUCCUACUGCGAUAAAUCUUUCAAAAUCUAAUGAUGCCAUUAAAUCUGUUAUAAAGUAUUAAUCCUCCUUUCGAAGGGCUAUCCUUUUCAGUAGGGCAAGUUGCAUACGCGUUACGCACCCGUGCGCCGGUCUCUAGUUAGCAAGCUAACUAUACCCCUCGGCUUGCAUGUGUUAAGCCUCCCGCUAGCGUUCAUCCUGAGCCAUGAUCAAACUC